This 642-nucleotide small RNA is filed under the name Pan troglodytes (chimpanzee). Its description in RNAcentral is "retained intron". Lineage: Eukaryota; Metazoa; Chordata; Mammalia; Primates; Hominidae. The record is from RNAcentral.
GGACCGCAGAGGUGAGAGUCGCGCCCGGGAGUCCGCCGCCUGCGCGAGGAUGGAGUUCGUGAAAUGCCUGGGCCACCCCGAAGAGUUCUACAACCUGGUGCGCUUCCGGAUCGGGGGCAAGCGGAAGGUGAUGCCCAAGAUGGACCAGAUAACAUCACAUGAAGGCCGUUUCUGGAAUGAAGUCUGACUCCAACAGUUUCACCACCUCCUCCGGAGCUCUCCCCGCCUUGCUGCCUUCCAUUGCUUCAUCCUCGGUGCUUCCUGAGUUUUAAAAUCGCCUAUCUACGCUUCCAAGUUCCAAUGAGUUAUCUGUACGUCUAUGGAUUAGCUAGGUGGUUGGUGGAAGGUCAGAACUUGGUUUUAGUUAGAUUUUAUCUGCCUCAUGCCUGUACUGUUUGUUUAAUGAAUGCAUAGGAGGUGUUUUUAUUCCAACAAGAAAAUUAUUCGUACGUGAUUAUUGAAUGAAUAGACAAAUUCAGCCAAGUUCUUCUGGUCUGGACCAGCCUGGCUGAUUUCUGUGACUUUUUUGGGCCAACAGGACAGUAGCAAAUGUGACUCAGGCCGAGGCUUGAUAGGUGCCUGAACAUCGGAGUCUUUCUUUCAGUGUCCAUGUGCUUCAGUAAACACACUAGCAAAUAAAUU